UUUAUUCUUUAUCCCUAUCCUCUUUGUUUCUUUUCAGCCAUGUCGGAGGCUCUCUCUGCUUCUGUUUUUCUCAGAUCUUCUUCAACACGUCCAAAAUUGCCCUAUUAUUAUUGUACACCCGCAUAGAUCGGCCUCCGAUCUACAAUUUGGUUAUGAUUUUACCACGUUAACAGGAUUUUAUUUCCGGCGAUCUUUAUCUUCAUCAGAAUCGAAGUUUCCGGCUCUCUUUUCCAUGUGGAUGAGCUUGUGAAGAUCCUCCAUGGAUUCCGUGUAUGGCGCUAUGAUUAACCAGUGCGUCCUUAUCCGCUUCUCGAUCGUAUUCAUGUGUUCUUUAUCGAUGAUAUGGGUUGAAGCUAUAAUACAAUCUGUAGUAGUGAUUGUGUAAUUGAUCGUUCAUGUCGAUCUGGUAGUAUCGAUGAAUGAUUUUCGUGAAUUCAGGCACGCAUAUAUACGAUCUGUAGAUGUAAAGGAGAGUUGAAUUUCUUGUUGUGAGUCGGCCUUUGCCAUGUCAGGUGCGCUUGCUUGGCAGGCCAACAAGUCUAAUAAAAUCCAUACUUUUUUGUUCUGGUGAAGGGAGGUGGUACGGGGUUUGCCCGGCUCUCCCUUCAUGUUCUUGUCUCGUUUCUUCCCCUUUUUCUCUUUCUUCUAUGGCUUUAAUGAUACACACACAUCAAUAUUGUCGCUCUUGAAACGCUUGGAACAAAUUUAGUCCCAAGCAUUUCAAGAAUCCGUCGAAUCAAUGAAUCCGUCGAAUCUGUUGGAAGAACGCUCGUAAUUGAUCAAUCAUAGCAGCAGUCUCAGAAUUACAAAAUCGGCAUCACUUUAUGUGGCUCACAAGGUACAAAUAUCAUCUUUUAUCAUCAAUUUCCGCCAAAUAUUAACAAAUUAGCGUGUGAUACGUUUCUUAUACGUCGUGAAUUGCAUAAUUAACCGGCUAAAUAUGAACAUUAUUACGAAUUAAGUGUGGUUGCUCACAUAAUUAAGUUCUUUGAAAGGCUGUAUAACACAUUUUUGAAGCUUUGUUGGAUUAGGAUUGUUUUGUUGCUACUGUAAUCGUGAUAUUAGUUUAUGUUUAUAAACGAUGCCAUUGUCAUUGUGGGAAUUUAAGAUUCUGAUUCAAAAAUAGGCAGUUAUAGGUACAUAAUUUUUCGUUAGUUCAAUUUUUAUCUUUUAUUAAAUAAUUUAGAUGUCGAUUCAGAUUAAUAUAUGCUGCAAAUUAGUUUUCGUGAAUUGGUUCCCUUUAGUGCAAACUUUUAUCGUGUUUAAAAGCAUAUGGGUUGUUUACUUGUUUGUUCGUUUUAUUAACAGAGACAUGUAUUCUAGUUGGUUAUUUAUCCUAAAAGACACCAUAUAUAAGUAUUUAUGUGUCAUUUGUAUCUUGGUAACUUUUUGCGAGUUCAUACGGUAUAAAUAUUCUGCCAUUGUUGCUAUUAGAUUUUGGUGCUUCUGCCAAAUCAUGCAACAAUAAUAUGAGUAUUUAUAUAUUUAAUAUCGGUCAUUUCGGUAUAUAAUCUAUCAACAGCUUAGAUAUAUUUGAUGUUAUAUAUAAUUAUGAUGAACAUUACUCUAUAAGAAAUUAUUUUCUUUAUAACAAAUUAAAAUUUUAUUAAAUUUUAUAGUAGUAUAUUAAAAUAUUAUUAAAUUUCAUUAAAUGAACAUUAGGUACUAUUUAAUUGUACCAAUGGCUUAGAUUGUAUUUGAUGUUAUAUAUAAUUAUGAUGAACUUCAUUAAGAGCGUGUUAUUUGAUGUUAUAUAUAUAAAAGAAACAUUGAGCUUAAGCUAAAUCAUUUGAGAAUUAAAAUAAUAUUUAGGCUCUUUCUAAUCAAUUGGCCCAAUUAAUAUUAAUUUGGGCUAAAAUAAUUCUUGGUAAAUUAUUUUGAUAGGCAAGUUGUUUUAAUCAGUCUUAUAAUUUAACUAAACUUAGUUGAUAGCACUUCUAACUUUUAUUUUUACUCAUUUUUUUGCAAUUACUUUUUUUAUAGCUUUUAGUCCUUUACAACUUUUUAGUGUUGAUUAACAUUUUCAUAUUUAUAUUUUGUAUUCUUAUCUUUUUGAUUUGUAUAUUUGUCACCCUAUAACUGGAAUUUAAUAUUUAGCAAUUGGUUGAGUUCUUGUGAUUUAACUUUUGGCUACCAUUUUUAUAAACCUACCAUAAGUUUUUUUUUACAAAUUUCAUUUUAAUAUCACUUGUUUAGAAAUCUUUGUUAAUUUUUCUUUACAUAUUUCAUCGUUUGAGUCCCUCAUCAGUCAUCAUUGUGAUUGCGAUUAGCCUAGCCUGCAAGCGGAUCUUAAUACGUAUCAUUUGUAAAUCAGAAUCUCAAACGAAGCAAUUCAAACUCGGAGAAAUGUUGAAUGAAAAUCCAAAGAUUACACUCAUGUCUUGGAACAAUUAAUUCAGGCCUCGAUUCAGAGAAAGGAUUUGGAAGUAAAGAUUUACUCGAUUGUUCCUACUGAAGCAAAAGAUAUUUUAGAAUUGAAAAUUCUUUUUUAAAACAAGACAAUCAAAAUUUAACUGCUAAAAAUAAUGAUUUUGAACAAAUGCUGCGUGAUUAUUUAAAACAAGUCACUUUUCUUGAAUCUGAACAUCACAGAAUAAAAGAAAAGUUUGAAACCAUCAACUAUGCCAGAAAACCCAAUGAAUCUAUUUUCAAAAAGGCAUGUGAUAUAGGAGCUGGUAGAAUAGAUGUAACCGUGAACAAGGAUUUAUUGUUACUUGAUUUUUCAUGUACAUAAUUAAAUUUGUCAAAAAAAAUUGUUUAUAGUUUUAUGCGAAUGCAAAUAUUUUAAUGUUUGGUAAAA
Lactuca sativa (garden lettuce) is the source of this 2800-nucleotide long non-coding RNA. RefSeq lists it as uncharacterized. Lineage: Eukaryota; Viridiplantae; Streptophyta; Magnoliopsida; Asterales; Asteraceae. The record is from RefSeq and is a predicted model, not a curated record.